Molecule: ribosomal RNA, 255 nt
Filed under: uncultured bacterium
Lineage: Bacteria
Description: partial 16S ribosomal RNA
Rfam family: Bacterial small subunit ribosomal RNA
Source: RNAcentral
UACAGAGGUCCCAAGCGUUGUUCGGAUUCACUGGGCGUAAAGGGUGCGUAGGUGGUGAGGUAAGUCGGAUGUGAAAUCUCCAAGCUCAACUUGGAAACUGCAUUGGAAACUACCUUGCUAGAGGAUUUGAGGGGGGGGAUUGGAAUACUUGGUGUAGCAGUGAAAUGCGUAGAUAUCAAGUGGAACACCAGUGGCGAAGGCGAAUCCCUGGAAAAUACCUGACACUGAGGCACGAAAGCUAGGGGAGCAAACAGG